GUGGCUAUAGCUCAAUUGGUUAGAGCAUCUGACUGUGGCUCAGAAGGUUUGCGGGUUCGAUCCCCGUUAGCCACCCCA
RNAcentral lists this transfer RNA (78 nucleotides) under Candidatus Omnitrophota bacterium. RNAcentral describes it as "Candidatus Omnitrophica bacterium tRNA-His". It matches the Rfam family "tRNA". Rfam says of the family: Transfer RNA (tRNA) molecules are approximately 80 nucleotides in length. Their secondary structure includes four short double-helical elements and three loops (D, anti-codon, and T loops). The record is from RNAcentral. Lineage: Bacteria; Pseudomonadati; Candidatus Omnitrophota.